AGUGAACGCUGGCGGCGUGCUUAACACAUGCAAGUCGAACGAGAACGGAUUAUAGCUUGCUAUAAUUGUCAGCUAAGUGGCGCACGGGUGAGUAAUGUAUAGGUAAUAUGCCUCUUACUAAGGGAUAACAAAUGGAAACGUUUGCUAAUACCUUAUACUCCUUAUUAACAGAAGUUAAUAAGGGAAAGAUUUAUUGGUAAGAGAUUAGCCUGUAUUGUAUCAGUUAGUUGGUGGGGUAAUGGCUUACCAAGACUAUGACACAUAACUGGUUUGAGAGGAUGAUCAGUCACACUGGAACUGAGACACGGUCCAGACUCCUACGGGAGGCAGCAGUGGGGAAUAUUGCACAAUGGACGAAAGUCUGAUGCAGCGACGCCGCGUGGAGGAUGACAUAUUUCGGUGCGUAAACUCCUUUUAUAUGAGAAGAUAAUGACGGUAUUAUAUGAAUAAGCACCGGCUAACUCCGUGCCAGCAGCCGCGGUAA
RNAcentral lists this ribosomal RNA (484 nucleotides) under uncultured bacterium. RNAcentral's name for it is "partial 16S ribosomal RNA". It matches the Rfam family "Bacterial small subunit ribosomal RNA", at positions 29 to 523 of the family's 1533-position model. The record is from RNAcentral.